This 440-nucleotide ribosomal RNA is filed under the name uncultured bacterium. RNAcentral describes it as "partial 16S ribosomal RNA". It matches the Rfam family "Bacterial small subunit ribosomal RNA", at positions 338 to 795 of the family's 1533-position model. The record is from RNAcentral.
CCUACGGGAGGCAGCAGUGGGGAAUAUUGCACAAUGGGGGGAACCCUGAUGCAGCGACGCCGCGUGGGUGAAGAAGCGCCUCGGCGCGUAAAGCCCUGUCAGCAGGGAAGAAAAUGACGGUACCUGCAGAAGAAGCCCCGGCUAACUACGUGCCCGCAGCCGCGGUAAUACGUAGGGGGCAAGCGUUAUCCGGAUUUACUGGGUGUUAAGGGGGCGGAGACGGCGGUGCAAGCCAGGAGUGAAAGCCCGGGGCUCAACCCCGGGACUGCUCUUGGAACUGCGUGGCUGGAGUGCAGGAGGGGCAGGCGGAAUUCCUGGUGUAGCGGUGAAAUGCGUAGAUAUCAGGAGGAACACCGGUGGCGAAGGCGGCCUGCUGGACUGCAACUGACGUUGAGGCCCGAAAGCGUGGGGAGCAAACAGGAUUAGAUACCCGAGUAGUC